GAUGAACGCCGGCGGUGUGCCUAAUACAUGCAAGUCGAACGCGUUGGCCCAAUUGAUUGAUGGUGCUUGCACCUGAUUGAUUUUGGUCGCCAACGAGUGGCGGACGGGUGAGUAACACGUAGGUAACCUGCCCAGAAGCGGGGGACAACAUUUGGAAACAGAUGCUAAUACCGCAUAACANCGUUGUUCGCAUGAACAACGCUUAAAAGAUGGCUUCUCGCUAUCACUUCUGGAUGGACCUGCGGUGCAUUAGCUUGUUGGUGGGGUAACGGCCUACCAAGGCGAUGAUGCAUAGCCGAGUUGAGAGACUGAUCGGCCACAAUGGGACUGAGACACGGCCCAUACUCCUACGGGAGGCAGCAGUAGGGAAUCUUCCACAAUGGGCGCAAGCCUGAUGGAGCAACACCGCGUGAGUGAAGAAGGGUUUCGGCUCGUAAAGCUCUGUUGUUAAAGAAGAACACGUAUGAGAGUAACUGUUCAUACGUUGACGGUAUUUAACCAGAAAGUCACGGCUAACUACGUGCCAGCAGCCGCGGUAAUACGUAGGUGGCAAGCGUUAUCCGGAUUUAUUGGGCGUAAAGAGAGUGCAGGCGGUUUUCUAAGUCUGAUGUGAAAGCCUUCGGCUUAACCGGAGAAGUGCAUCGGAAACUGGAUAACUUGAGUGCAGAAGAGGGUAGUGGAACUCCAUGUGUAGCGGUGGAAUGCGUAGAUAUAUGGAAGAACACCAGUGGCGAAGGCGGCUACCUGGUCUGCAACUGACGCUGAGACUCGAAAGCAUGGGUAGCGAACAGGAUUAGAUACCCUGGUAGUCCAUGCCGUAAACGAUGAGUGCUAGGUGUUGGAGGGUUUCCGCCCUUCAGUGCCGGAGCUAACGCAUUAAGCACUCCGCCUGGGGAGUACGACCGCAAGGUUGAAACUCAAAGGAAUUGACGGGGGCCCGCACAAGCGGUGGAGCAUGUGGUUUAAUUCGAAGCUACGCGAAGAACCUUACCAGGUCUUGACAUCUUGCGCCAACCCUAGAGAUAGGGCGUUUCCUUCGGGAACGCAAUGACAGGUGGUGCAUGGUCGUCGUCAGCUCGUGUCGUGAGAUGUUGGGUUAAGUCCCGCAACGAGCGCAACCCUUGUUACUAGUUGCCAGCAUUAAGUUGGGCACUCUAGUGAGACUGCCGGUGACAAACCGGAGGAAGGUGGGGACGACGUCAGAUCAUCAUGCCCCUUAUGACCUGGGCUACACACGUGCUACAAUGGACGGUACAACGAGUCGCGAACUCGCGAGGGCAAGCAAAUCUCUUAAAACCGUUCUCAGUUCGGACUGCAGGCUGCAACUCGCCUGCACGAAGUCGGAAUCGCUAGUAAUCGCGGAUCAGCAUGCCGCGGUGAAUACGUUCCCGGGCCUUGUACACACCGCCCGUCACACCAUGAGAGUUUGUAACACCCAAAGUCGGUGGGGUAACCUUUUAGGAGCCAGCCGCCUAAGGUGGGACAGAUGAUUAGGGUGAAG
RNAcentral lists this ribosomal RNA (1501 nucleotides) under Limosilactobacillus fermentum. RNAcentral describes it as "Lactobacillus fermentum 16S ribosomal RNA". It matches the Rfam family "Bacterial small subunit ribosomal RNA". The record is from RNAcentral. Lineage: Bacteria; Bacillati; Bacillota; Bacilli; Lactobacillales; Lactobacillaceae.